This 100-nucleotide ribosomal RNA is filed under the name uncultured Boletus. RNAcentral describes it as "partial 28S ribosomal RNA". Lineage: Eukaryota; Fungi; Basidiomycota; Agaricomycetes; Boletales; Boletaceae. The record is from RNAcentral.
UUGACCUCAAAUCAGGUAGGACUUCUCGCUGCACCCUGGUAGUCAGUUUAGUCGGAUCACAGUAUCGUAGUAUCCGUAUGGUACGUAGAUUCAUGGCUGA